Molecule: ribosomal RNA, 1618 nt
Filed under: Escherichia coli
Lineage: Bacteria; Pseudomonadati; Pseudomonadota; Gammaproteobacteria; Enterobacterales; Enterobacteriaceae
Description: partial 23S ribosomal RNA
Rfam family: Bacterial large subunit ribosomal RNA
Source: RNAcentral
AUAAUGGGUCAGCGACUUAUAUUCUGUAGCAAGGUUAACCGAAUAGGGGAGCCGAAGGGAAACCGAGUCUUAACUGGGCGUUAAGUUGCAGGGUAUAGACCCGAAACCCGGUGAUCUAGCCAUGGGCAGGUUGAAGGUUGGGUAACACUAACUGGAGGACCGAACCGACUAAUGUUGAAAAAUUAGCGGAUGACUUGUGGCUGGGGGUGAAAGGCCAAUCAAACCGGGAGAUAGCUGGUUCUCCCCGAAAGCUAUUUAGGUAGCGCCUCGUGAAUUCAUCUCCGGGGGUAGAGCACUGUUUCGGCAAGGGGGUCAUCCCGACUUACCAACCCGAUGCAAACUGCGAAUACCGGAGAAUGUUAUCACGGGAGACACACGGCGGGUGCUAACGUCCGUCGUGAAGAGGGAAACAACCCAGACCGCCAGCUAAGGUCCCAAAGUCAUGGUUAAGUGGGAAACGAUGUGGGAAGGCCCAGACAGCCAGGAUGUUGGCUUAGAAGCAGCCAUCAUUUAAAGAAAGCGUAAUAGCUCACUGGUCGAGUCGGCCUGCGCGGAAGAUGUAACGGGGCUAAACCAUGCACCGAAGCUGCGGCAGCGACGCUUAUGCGUUGUUGGGUAGGGGAGCGUUCUGUAAGCCUGCGAAGGUGUGCUGUGAGGCAUGCUGGAGGUAUCAGAAGUGCGAAUGCUGACAUAAGUAACGAUAAAGCGGGUGAAAAGCCCGCUCGCCGGAAGACCAAGGGUUCCUGUCCAACGUUAAUCGGGGCAGGGUGAGUCGACCCCUAAGGCGAGGCCGAAAGGCGUAGUCGAUGGGAAACAGGUUAAUAUUCCUGUACUUGGUGUUACUGCGAAGGGGGGACGGAGAAGGCUAUGUUGGCCGGGCGACGGUUGUCCCGGUUUAAGCGUGUAGGCUGGUUUUCCAGGCAAAUCCGGAAAAUCAAGGCUGAGGCGUGAUGACGAGGCACUACGGUGCUGAAGCAACAAAUGCCCUGCUUCCAGGAAAAGCCUCUAAGCAUCAGGUAACAUCAAAUCGUACCCCAAACCGACACAGGUGGUCAGGUAGAGAAUACCAAGGCGCUUGAGAGAACUCGGGUGAAGGAACUAGGCAAAAUGGUGCCGUAACUUCGGGAGAAGGCACGCUGAUAUGUAGGUGAAGUCCCUCGCGGAUGGAGCUGAAAUCAGUCGAAGAUACCAGCUGGCUGCAACUGUUUAUUAAAAACACAGCACUGUGCAAACACGAAAGUGGACGUAUACGGUGUGACGCCUGCCCGGUGCCGGAAGGUUAAUUGAUGGGGUCAGCGCAAGCGAAGCUCUUGAUCGAAGCCCCGGUAAACGGCGGCCGUAACUAUAACGGUCCUAAGGUAGCGAAAUUCCUUGUCGGGUAAGUUCCGACCUGCACGAAUGGCGUAAUGAUGGCCAGGCUGUCUCCACCCGAGACUCAGUGAAAUUGAACUCGCUGUGAAGAUGCAGUGUACCCGCGGCAAGACGGAAAGACCCCGUGAACCUUUACUAUAGCUUGACACUGAACAUUGAGCCUUGAUGUGUAGGAUAGGUGGGAGGCUUUGAAGUGUGGACGCCAGUCUGCAUGGAGCCGACCUUGAAAUACCACCCUUUAAUGUUU